Molecule: ribosomal RNA, 685 nt
Rfam family: 5.8S ribosomal RNA (bases 278-433)
UUUCCGUAGGUGAACCUGCGGAAGGAUCAUUGUCGAAACCUGCAAAGACAGAACGACCCGCGAAUCGGUGAAAACUUACUCGGGAGGGAUGCGCCCCCGGGCCUCUCUCCCAGGGUCCCCAGCCAAGGUUGUGGUUGAAAUAAUCCACGUCCUCGGGUGCGGGCUGAACUAACAAACCCCGGCGCGAGUCGCGCCAAGGAAAACAGAGAAAAGAUGGGCUCCCCUCGCCCCGGAAACGGUGCGUGUGGAGUCACGUCGUAGAUAUCGUAUUCCAAACGACUCUCGGCAACGGAUAUCUCGGCUCUCGCAUCGAUGAAGAACGUAGCGAAAUGCGAUACUUGGUGUGAAUUGCAGAAUCCCGUGAACCAUCGAGUUUUUGAACGCAAGUUGCGCCCAAAGCCGUCAGGCCGAGGGCACGCCUGCCUGGGUGUCACGAAAAGUCGUCGAAUCUCCCUCCCCGCGAGGGACGACGGACGUUGGCCUCCCGUGGGCUCACGGGCGCGGUUGGCCCAAAAGCUAGGCAUGCCCCCACGAGGCGGGCACGACGCACGGUGGUUGAAAGCGCACGCUCUCCUCGAACACCGUCGUGGCCCGGCCUCGUUGACGGGGAGCCAAAGACCCCGACGCGCGGCGUCACCAUCACGAUGCGACCCCAGGUCAGGCGGGACCACCCGCUGAGUUUAAG